This 341-nucleotide long non-coding RNA is filed under the name Nicotiana benthamiana. RNAcentral describes it as "long non-coding RNA (NBEN_LNC018023)". The record is from RNAcentral. Lineage: Eukaryota; Viridiplantae; Streptophyta; Magnoliopsida; Solanales; Solanaceae.
CAGGGGAACUCCAGAAGUAAAUGCUCCUUCAGAGAGGACCAAAACCCCGCUACAAAGUGAACCAUUUAGUUUCAUUGCAUUGAAGUCUGCCUCUUUUCCAGUGGUAGAUCAUCCUGAAACCGGUAGUAUUGCUACCUCAAAUCCUUUGGCAGUUACAGACAAUAUAUUGGCACCAUCAUCCUGGAACCGGUAGUAUUGCUACCUCAAAUCCUUUGGCAGUUACAGACAAUAUGUUGGCGCUGAAGCCUUCUGAGGAUCCUUCAACAUCUUCUGCACUUCCUGAAUGUCAAAUUGGUUUGGGGGGCAAUUCCAAAAGCCAGAAUAUAUUAGAUGAAGGCAGU